This 495-nucleotide ribosomal RNA is filed under the name uncultured bacterium. Its description in RNAcentral is "partial 16S ribosomal RNA". It matches the Rfam family "Bacterial small subunit ribosomal RNA", at positions 28 to 507 of the family's 1533-position model. The record is from RNAcentral.
GACGAACGCUGGCGGCGUGCCUAAUACAUGCAAGUAGAACGCUGAAGGAGGAGCUUGCUUCUCUGGAUGAGUUGCGAACGGGUGAGUAACGCGUAGGUAACCUGCCUGGUAGCGGGGGAUAACUAUUGGAAACGAUAGCUAAUACCGCAUAAGAGUAGAUGUUGCAUGACAUUUGCUUAAAAGGUGCAAUUGCAUCACUACCAGAUGGACCUGCGUUGUAUUAGCUAGUUGGUGAGGUAACGGCUCACCAAGGCAACGAUACAUAGCCGACCUGAGAGGGUGCUCGGCCACACUGGGACUGGGACACGGCCCAGACUCCUACGGGAGGCAGCAGUAGGGAAUCUUCGGCAAUGGACGGAAGUCUGACCGAGCAACGCCGCGUGAGUGAAGAAGGUUUUCGGAUCGUAAAGCUCUGUUGUAAGAGAAGAACGAGUGUGAGAGUGGAAAGUUCACACUGUGACGGUAUCUUACCAGAAAGGGACGGCUAACUACGUG